RNAcentral lists this long non-coding RNA (1038 nucleotides) under Anas zonorhyncha (Eastern spot-billed duck). Its description in RNAcentral is "lncRNA (ENSAZOG00000011099.1)". The record is from RNAcentral. Lineage: Eukaryota; Metazoa; Chordata; Aves; Anseriformes; Anatidae.
AUGUUGACUCAGUGCAAGGAACUUGGGAGGUUAUACAAACAAGAACCUAGUUUGACAAUCCAUUAUAACUUGGCUAAUACCCCUCUGUUGCCAAUAACCAAGUCUCUGCUAACACUUUCAUUCCUUUCUUUCUUAUUUUUUGCUGAGUACAUUGCGCUCUGCUCAGCUGAAUCACCAGAACUUCUUUUCUUUUCUUUCAACAGGGCCCUUUCUUUUACAGCCUCUUAUGGGAAAAAUACUUACUUCUCAAAUGCAGCACUUGAAGGGGUUUGCUUCUUGCAGGGAGGGGGGCACAGCAUCAGCCUGCUGGCUCACCUUCUCCAGAACCUGAAUCCAGGUUCUCCUGGGGGAAGCCUUGGGAUCCCAUCCAGACCCGUGGCAGCACAGCAAAACAGUCCAGCCAUUGAUUCACAAGCCGCAUGGCCUCGUAUGGAGAACACACAGUUCCACGCUGGCACCUGCCUGUCAGUCUAGGUGGCUCUGGAGAGGCUUUGGCACGGCUGCCCCACGCAAAGGACAAGUUCCCAGGGUCUGCCACCCCAGGAGCCGCGUCUGCAAAGGAGCCCGCCGGGGCGCUCCAGCCCAGCAAAAUCCAGCUUUGUGGUCUGGAAACCUCCAGAACAGGCUCUCUAAACAUAUGGUGUUAUUUUCACGGCACUUGACAUUCUUCUAGGAUAGUUCAAAUGGUACAUUCAUGUUCCCAAAAUUAUGUCACUGCUUUCUGCAUUUAAUGGCUAUAGUUAAUCAUCGCUCACAGCUCUCCCCUGUUCCUCUUCCCCUGUGAGAACACCGCGAGACGCCUCCAGCUGUGCAUACUUCACCCAGGGCUGCUUUGCACACUUUCUUUGCUCCCACUCUUGUGUCAUCCCACGGGGCUUGGGACUCAUGAAAAAACAUGCAGUGGUGGGGGCACAUGAGCCCUGCGCCUGCCAGGCAAUGCAUUCCCCCAUGCCAAUCUCCAAAGCGUGUCAGAGCUGUGCAUCUAUCAGCGUGCCUCAUCUCAUGCUGGGCUAAGGUAAGUAAAGCUUGGCAGGUUUG